This 77-nucleotide transfer RNA is filed under the name compost metagenome. Its description in RNAcentral is "tRNA-Thr". It matches the Rfam family "tRNA". Rfam says of the family: Transfer RNA (tRNA) molecules are approximately 80 nucleotides in length. Their secondary structure includes four short double-helical elements and three loops (D, anti-codon, and T loops). Further hydrogen bonds mediate the characteristic L-shaped molecular structure. tRNAs have two regions of fundamental functional importance: the anti-codon, which is responsible for specific mRNA codon recognition, and the 3' end, to which the tRNAs corresponding amino acid is attached (by aminoacyl-tRNA synthetases). tRNAs cope with the degeneracy of the genetic code in two manners: having more than one tRNA (with a specific anti-codon) for a particular amino acid; and 'wobble' base-pairing, i.e. permitting non-standard base-pairing at the 3rd anti-codon position. The record is from RNAcentral.
GCAGGAAUAGCACAAUUGGCUAGUGCAAUCGCCUUGUAAGCGAUAGGUUGUGGGUUCGAGUCCCUCUUUCUGCACCA